RNAcentral lists this ribosomal RNA (330 nucleotides) under uncultured Tremellodendron. RNAcentral describes it as "eukaryotic LSU rRNA". The stretch from base 275 to 330 matches the Rfam family "Eukaryotic large subunit ribosomal RNA", at positions 1 to 56 of the family's 3401-position model. The record is from RNAcentral. Lineage: Eukaryota; Fungi; Basidiomycota; Agaricomycetes; Sebacinales; Sebacinaceae.
AUCGAAUCUUUGAACGCACCUUGCACCCUUUGGAAUUCCGAGGGUAUGCUCGUUUGAGUGUCAUUGUACUCUCACACUCCUCUGAUCCUUUGGAUUCGGGGAGCGGUGGACUUGGGUGUUUGCUGCUUUCCUUGUGGCUCACCUCAAAUGCGUCAGUGCACCUCUUGGUUGGACAUAGUACGGCGUGAUAAGUGUCUUCGCCGGCACCUCGGAAGAGGGUGGCCGAUCGAGAGCUCUGUGCUUUCAAACCGUCUUCAGACACUUUCUGACAACUUGACCUCAAAUCGAGUAGGACUACCCGCUGAACUUAAGCAUAUCAAUAAGCGGAGG